GCGAGUGUAGCUCAGGGGUAGAGCACUUGCUUAGCAUGCACCAGGUCCUGCCUGGGUUCGAUCCCCAGCACCUCCA
This 76-nucleotide transfer RNA is filed under the name Camelus bactrianus (Bactrian camel). It matches the Rfam family "tRNA". From Rfam's summary of the family: Transfer RNA (tRNA) molecules are approximately 80 nucleotides in length. Their secondary structure includes four short double-helical elements and three loops (D, anti-codon, and T loops). The record is from Rfam by way of RNAcentral. Lineage: Eukaryota; Metazoa; Chordata; Mammalia; Artiodactyla; Camelidae. RNAcentral also lists the same sequence under 1 other name.